RNAcentral lists this ribosomal RNA (611 nucleotides) under Geomyces sp. 'lucifugus'. Its description in RNAcentral is "eukaryotic LSU rRNA". It matches the Rfam family "Eukaryotic large subunit ribosomal RNA", at positions 38 to 667 of the family's 3401-position model. RNAcentral also lists the same sequence under 1 other name. Lineage: Eukaryota; Fungi; Ascomycota; Leotiomycetes; Thelebolales; Pseudeurotiaceae. The record is from RNAcentral.
GCAUAUCAAUAAGCGGAGGAAAAGAAACCAACAGGGAUUACCUCAGUAACGGCGAGUGAAGCGGUAACAGCUCAAAUUUGAAAUCUGGCCUCACGGUCCGAGUUGUAAUUUGUAGAGGAUGCUUCGAGCAUGGUCUGGCCUAAGUUCCUUGGAACAGGACGUCAUAGAGGGUGAGAAUCCCGUAUGCGGCCAGGUGCCUACGCUCAUGUGAAGCUCCUUCGACGAGUCGAGUUGUUUGGGAAUGCAGCUCAAAAUGGGUGGUAAAUUUCAUCUAAAGCUAAAUAUUGGCCAGAGACCGAUAGCGCACAAGUAGAGUGAUCGAAAGAUGAAAAGCACUUUGGAAAGAGAGUUAAACAGUACGUGAAAUUGUUGAAAGGGAAGCGCUUGCAACCAGACUUGCGCGCGGCCGAUCAUCCGGUGUUCUCACCGGUGCACUCGGCCGUGCUCAGGCCAGCAUCGGUUUUGGCGGCUGGAUAAAGGCCCUAGGAAUGUAGCUCCUCUCGGGGAGUGUUAUAGUCUAGGGUGCAAUGCAGCCUGCUGGGACCGAGGACCGCGCUUCGGCUAGGAUGCUGGCGUAAUGGUUGUAAGCGGCCCGUCUUGAAACACGGACC